GCAUAUCAAUAAGCGGAGGAAAAGAAACUAACAAGGAUUCCCCUAGUAACUGCGAGUGAAGCGGGAAAAGCUCAAAUUUAAAAUCUGGCAGCUUUGGCUGUCCGAGUUGUAGUCUGGAGAAGCGUCUUCCGCGCUGGACCGUGUACAAGUCUCUUGGAACAGAGCGUCAUAGAGGGUGAGAAUCCCGUCCAUGACACGGACUACCAGUGCUUUGUGAUGCGCUCUCAAAGAGUCGAGUUGUUUGGGAAUGCAGCUCAAAAUGGGUGGUAAAUUCCAUCUAAAGCUAAAUAUUGGCGAGAGACCGAUAGCGAACAAGUACCGUGAGGGAAAGAUGAAAAGCACUUUGGAAAGAGAGUUAAACAGUACGUGAAAUUGCUGAAAGGGAACCGCUUGAAGUCAGUCGCGUCUUGCAGAACUCAACCUGGCUUUUGCUUGGUGCACUUUCUGUAUGACGGGCCAACAUCAGUUUUGACUGCUGGAAAAAUUCCUUAGGAAUGUGGCACCUACGGGUGUGUUAUAGCCUUUGGUUGUAUACAGUGGUUGGGACUGAGGACCGCAGCACGCCUUAUGGCCGGGGUUCGCCCACGUACGUGCUUAGGAUGUUGGCGUAAUGGCUUUAAGCGACCCGUCUUGAAACACGGACC
This 644-nucleotide ribosomal RNA is filed under the name Polyporales sp. JCM 28407. Its description in RNAcentral is "eukaryotic LSU rRNA". It matches the Rfam family "Eukaryotic large subunit ribosomal RNA", at positions 38 to 667 of the family's 3401-position model. The record is from RNAcentral. Lineage: Eukaryota; Fungi; Basidiomycota; Agaricomycetes; Polyporales.